CCGUCCCGCAAGGAGCGCGGUGCCAGCACGUGUUGGGACGACUCCACGUACCCGCAGCUGCUGACUGGAGCAGGACGGGCUCAUGCCCCGCAGCUUUCAAUCAUGGAAAAUCAGAGCCCACAAAGGCGAGAAGUCAGCAUUGUUGGAGACAUCAUCGCCGUCAGCGUGGAGUGUGUUUGCGGCUAGGAGGGGAAGGCGCCCUGGAACGAAGCUGUGCACGCAGUCAUUGCAGAGAGAUUGAAGACAAGGGAAGCAUCAGUAAAGCAAUGAACACUUAUAUUUAAUUUACAUUUGACAAUUUGCACAUAAAUAAUGAUGUAAACCAAUACGUAAACAUAUGAUAGUUUGUUGUUCUAGCAAAGUAAAAAGCCUGUUAACUUUGGUCAGAGUCUUUCUUAAGAGAGACAAAAAAAACCCAAAACACUGUUGAUUGUUGCUACAUUCACAUGUAAAACUUCUAAGGGAAGGGGGAAACAGUAAAGAGAAGUAACAAUUCUUAAAGCUGAUGCAUAUAAAUUCUUGUAAAAUUUGUAUCAAAUACAAGAAAGCACUACAGGCAAAUAUAGGAAAAGUGUGUGUCCAGUGACAGAGUAGUGAUACUUUGGUUUAUCCUACAAGUAAGUACUAUAUUUAUGAACUAUUGCUACAUUUAAAAGAUGUCAGCCUCACAAGUUGUAGGAGUGGAAAUGUAAUGAACUGUAGUCCUUCAAAAGCUGUGUAAAGAGACGUGUAUGUCAGGAUUGUUUAUCUUAAACAGAAGGCAUUAAAAUAGUUUGAUGGGG
This is a long non-coding RNA of Cygnus olor (mute swan), 782 nucleotides long. RefSeq lists it as uncharacterized. The record is from RefSeq and is a predicted model, not a curated record. Lineage: Eukaryota; Metazoa; Chordata; Aves; Anseriformes; Anatidae. The transcript is spliced from 2 exons.